UCAUCAAGGGUGAAAGACGCUGAAGUCGA
RNAcentral lists this non-coding RNA (29 nucleotides) under Bombyx mori (domestic silkworm). The record is from RNAcentral. Lineage: Eukaryota; Metazoa; Arthropoda; Insecta; Lepidoptera; Bombycidae.